RNAcentral lists this ribosomal RNA (253 nucleotides) under uncultured bacterium. RNAcentral's name for it is "partial 16S ribosomal RNA". It matches the Rfam family "Bacterial small subunit ribosomal RNA", at positions 524 to 776 of the family's 1533-position model. The record is from RNAcentral.
UACGUAGGGAGCAAGCGUUGUCCGGAAUCAUUGGGCGUAAAGCGCGCGUAGGUGGCUUCGUAAGUCCGUUGUGAAAGUCAAAGGCUCAACCUUUGAAAGCCGAUGGAUACUGCGGAGCUAGAGUACGGAAGAGGCGAGUGGAAUUCCUGGUGUAGCGGUGGAAUGCGCAGAUAUCGGGAGGAAUACCUAUGGCGAAAGCAAGUUCCUGGGCCGUUACUGACGCUGAGCUGCGAAAGCUAGGGGAGCAAACAGG